Small nuclear RNA from Sorex fumeus (smoky shrew), 105 nucleotides. Lineage: Eukaryota; Metazoa; Chordata; Mammalia; Eulipotyphla; Soricidae. The record is from RefSeq and is a predicted model, not a curated record.
GUGUUUGAUUCAGUAGCACAUUUACUAAAAUUUGAAUGAUACAGAGUAGAUUAGCAUGACCCUUGGGAAAAGACAACACAAAUUUGUUAAGUGUUCAAUAUUAAA